GACGAACGCUGGCGGCGUGCUUAACACAUGCAAGUCGAACGGAAAGGCCCUGCUUUUGUGGGGUGCUCGAGUGGCGAACGGGUGAGUAACACGUGAGUAACCUGCCCUUGACUUUGGGAUAACUUCAGGAAACUGGGGCUAAUACCGGAUAGGAGCUCCUGCUGCAUGGUGGGGGUUGGAAAGUUUCGGCGGUUGGGGAUGUACUCGCGGCUUAUCAGCUUGUUGGUGGGGUAGUGGCUUACCAAGGCUUUGACGGGUAGCCGGCCUGGGAGGGUGACCGGCCACAUUGGGACUGAGAUACGGCCCAGACUCCUACGGGAGGCAACAGUGGGGAAUAUUGCACAAUGGGCGGAAGCCUGAUGCAGCAACGCAGCGUGCGGGAUGACGGCCUUCGGGUUGUAAACCGCUUUCGCCUGUGACGAAGCGUGAGUGACGGUAAUGGGUAAAGAAGCACCGGCUAACUACGUG
RNAcentral lists this ribosomal RNA (468 nucleotides) under uncultured bacterium. RNAcentral describes it as "partial 16S ribosomal RNA". It matches the Rfam family "Bacterial small subunit ribosomal RNA", at positions 28 to 507 of the family's 1533-position model. The record is from RNAcentral.